CAUUAUAUUGCUUUUUCUUACAACCAUUGUUUUGAAUUCUAAUUCUGGAAUUUCAUAUAUUUCUUUCAGAUCAGGAUCUGAUUCUAGAGAAUUACUGUGUUUUUUUUGGAGAUGUCAUACUACCUUGGUUCUUCAUGUUUUCUGUGUCCCUACAUUGAUAUCUGUGUAUCUGGUGUAAUACUUCUUCAUGGAGUAGGUUUUAUUUUUAAAGAAAUUAUGCUUUAUUAUUAUUAUUAUUAUUAUUAUGCAUCAUUUUAGAUGAAAUGUCAGGUAUCAUUUAGCUCAUUGCUUUGGCUUUGGUUUUCAGUCAGCCCAGAAGUACAGCCUCUCACUGAUUUCCUCUGUUUUAUUCAAUGCCAAUUGUGUCUAAAAGUGGCACAGUGAUAUAGUCCUCUGCAGUUCAUGGGAGCAGAAGUGUGACUUUGAGAUGAAGUAGGUUUCCUAGGGUGUGGGUCUUAGUCCACAGAGAGUUCAACGUCAGAGUCACAAUGAGGAUUGUGAUGGCCCAGGCAUUUCCUGUGGUGCUGAGGGAGAAAAAGGAGCUGCCUACUUUUUUCUCUGGCAAGUCUGAGUGAUGUUGGAGCUUAUGGCACCAGUGAUAUGGCUUCUCUUCUUUUAGGACUGUGUAAUGUGGAUGGGCCCUUCCUGAGUCCUGCUAGGAGAGUGCUACUAGUGCUGUGGCUUAUGACAGCAACGUUCAUAGCUCUUGGACUGGAGGAUCUGAACUGAACCCUGCUCUAGUAAUGCAGGAUGGCUUCAAGCUUGUUAUAGAACACACAGUGCCUGCUACCAAGAAUGUACAGAGAGUCAUUGACUCAGUCUGUGCCUGUACAGAGUUCUCGACACACAACGUGGUAAAUCACCUAACGGAGAUCGUGAUGAUUAAUUGUACAUGUAAGUUUCAUUGAUACAAGUGGUGCUCAGAUAUUUUUUAAGAAUUUUUCUAGGCAUAUCUAUGGGGAUGUUUCUGACUAGAAUAAGGGCUGACCCUUCCCUGAAUAAAAGAAAAUUUUUCUUGUCUGAAUGUAUUUGA
Long non-coding RNA from Oryctolagus cuniculus (rabbit), 1033 nucleotides. Lineage: Eukaryota; Metazoa; Chordata; Mammalia; Lagomorpha; Leporidae. The record is from Ensembl.